ACCACAGCAUACACGCGGCUCAAAUUAGCGUGUACCAAAAAACCUAGUCAUAGUAUUCUUGUUCUCAUGAUCAUUUUUCAGUGCGUCACAGUUUUUCGAUUUCUCUCUAAUGCAUUAAGUUAGAUGAGACGGAAAAAGCGGUAGCUCCGUGAUUAAACACAAAAAUAAUGCAGCAUUACAAUGGUUAUAUACAUAAGAUGUCUAUUCCUAACCUACGUUUGAUUCGUUGAUAUUUAGAAUGCGCGUUUUUUCUAGCCAAUCAAAUACACGUAUUACGAAUAUUUGACGAAAACUUCGUCCAUUUUGGCCAUUUUUUAGAAGUGUCAAAGAGUCAAGUGAGGGUUAUUAUUCAGGUCAGUAUUUUGUGUACCUGUCAUUUUGAAAUUUCGAAUUCGACUUCACUUGUGUUUCACAACGUCUUUGUGCAUUAUUUUGUGUUUUGGUUUAGAAUUUAGUUCGUUAAAAGUUAGUCAUUGGCGUGAGGAGACUAGAGACAUUCGAGAUGUACCGAAGAGUGCUAAAUAUCUCAUGAGUAGAUAGAAUUAACAGCAAGAUUACCAUCCGCUAAUUCAAUUUGCUCAGCAGAAGUAUUUGCCAUUAAAAAAGCAUUGGAGUUAAUCCAACAGAAUAAUUUUACCAAAGUGCCUCAUCUGUAGUGAUUCUAAGAGUGCUCUAGAAAAAAUCACAAGACCAAGCUACAAGGCGGCAAUAGACUCACAAACUCUCCAACUAAAACAAAAACUAUGUGAAUUUGAUGACCAACAUAGAGAAAUUAAAUUUGCAUGGAUUUCAAGUCACACUGGAAUUAUUGGGAAUGAUAGAGCUGACCAUCUUGCGAAUCUUGGAAGAAAGCUGCCUAUAGGCGAAUAAAGUUUAGACUGUUGCGCCAAUGCGACAAAUAUUGGAACUACUCAUAGAGGUAUAUAUUGACAUAGAGAGAGUGUCAUUCGGAGCGAAGUGACGACACCAUCUUUUUUCUUUGGAUUAGUGCUACUUCACUCUUACACAUAGUAAAGCUGCGACAGUAUGAUAAACGUCAUUUAAGUUAGGAGAAGUACGAAGUUAGCUGAUGUCUUUCCUGUUAUUUUUAUUUAGUCACUGACGUCACUGUUUACAUUGACAUUUAUUUGUAAAUGUUUUUAGACGAAUAUUCUGUUUGGUUUUGUUUUUUAUUGUUAAUUGUGCAGCGAAAUUGUGAUAGUAAAUUAAAUAUAAAGUUGUUUAUAGCCUACAGAACUGAAUUAUCCCAUAGUAAUUAUCAGUUUGUGUCAAUUUGUUUGUGUGUAAAAAAGAAAAAACACUUUUCCUUGUGUUUGACCGACUUGUAGCAAGGGCUUUCUUGAGAAGCCUGUAAAUUGCGGGAAUAGGACAGACAGGGAUAAAAUCCUCACUUUUUACUGUUCCCAAGGCUAUACAUUUCCCCCAUGCAAUACAUUUAAAUGAAUUUUAUCCAAACAAAGGCAGGAACAUUGGAUAAAAGCAAUAAAGAGAACAGACCACAAAUUAAAAUAUGACAGUAUGCAGUAAACAUUUAAUAAGUGGAAUAAACACCAGCUAUUUUAAAUGUAGGAAAAGGAGAAACUGCUGGAACCUAAUUUUACACAAAUGUUUUUGACUAUUGAAGAUUUGGAUAAACAACAGAAGUUACUUUGGGCUAUAGCUAUGUGCAGAUUUAUUUCCUUGUGGAUUACUAUGUUUAUUCUUUUUAACUAUACUUCCUAUAUUGUUUGUGAGAUUAAUAUUAUUAUUUAAUUGAUUAUAUUAAUAUUUUGUAAUAAUAAUCAAUGCUUUGGUUUAACAAAAUAGACAACUUAGAAUAGAACAA
This 1825-nucleotide long non-coding RNA is filed under the name Diabrotica virgifera virgifera (western corn rootworm). RNAcentral's name for it is "uncharacterized LOC126888742". Lineage: Eukaryota; Metazoa; Arthropoda; Insecta; Coleoptera; Chrysomelidae. The record is from RNAcentral.